Molecule: unclassified non-coding RNA, 277 nt
Filed under: Clostridioides difficile
Lineage: Bacteria; Bacillati; Bacillota; Clostridia; Peptostreptococcales; Peptostreptococcaceae
Description: 16S-23S ribosomal RNA intergenic spacer (ISR)
Source: RNAcentral
ACCUACUGUUUAAUUUUGAGGGUUCGUUUUUACGAAUACUCAAAAUUAGCACUUUUAGCAACAGAAUAAACUGAACGCAUGUGAAGUUUGUUUGUUGGCGCUGUGCUUUAGCACUUUAAGCAACGGAAUUUAUUCGUUGGCGUUGUGCGUUAGCACUUUGAAAACUGCAUAUAUAUUUAGUGAUAUGACAUCUAAUUUGUAAUAUAUAAAGCUGAUAACUUUUUAAAAUUAUCGAAGUUGAUAGCUUCUAAUCUAUCAAACCUUUUUAACUGGUCAA